CAAACGACUCUCGGCAACGGAUAUCUCGGCUCACGCAUCGAUGAAGAACGUAGCAAAAUGCGAUACUUGGUGUGAAUUGCAGAAUCCCGUGAACCAUCGAGUUUUUGAACGCAAGUUGCGCCCGAAGCCUUUUGGCCGAGGGCACGUCUGCUUGGGCGUCACAC
RNAcentral lists this ribosomal RNA (164 nucleotides) under Dendrophorbium brachycodon. Its description in RNAcentral is "5.8S ribosomal RNA". It matches the Rfam family "5.8S ribosomal RNA". From Rfam's summary of the family: 5.8S ribosomal RNA (5.8S rRNA) is a component of the large subunit of the eukaryotic ribosome. It is transcribed by RNA polymerase I as part of the 45S precursor that also contains 18S and 28S rRNA. Functionally, it is thought that 5.8S rRNA may be involved in ribosome translocation. The record is from RNAcentral. Lineage: Eukaryota; Viridiplantae; Streptophyta; Magnoliopsida; Asterales; Asteraceae.